GGGCUGAACUGGAGAAGAGUCUCUUUCUGGAGAUCCUUCCUUUUAGAGUUUUCUACUGUGAGCCUAGGAUACAGCACCAGUGAAAUGAGAACUGGGAAACCACCACACCACACUGAGUUUUGUUCCUCCAUGUAUCAGCUUUGGAAAUAUCAUGGGACUUCAGCCACUGAUCAUUGAAGAUUGCUGCCAACAUUUUAGUCUAGUUCUGUAUUCUGGCCUUAUCAGAAAGGGAAGGAAACAACAGAGUACUAGAAAGUCCUCCUGGCAAAAUCCCACGUCUUUUCAAGUGGAAUGCAACUUGUUUCUCCCGGAAAAUUUCAGGAGGAUCAGUUCAACCAUUUUGGAUACAUGUCCCUGAAGUGUCUGCUCUAGUUGGGCCCUCCACUGCAUAUAGUACUCAUGCAGGAGAAGAUCCAGCUGCAUUUCUUGGAUUUCAAGUUCAUACAUCUCAUCAUAUUGAGUCUGUCUUGCAGAGAUGACCCUUAUCACCUAUUGAACUGGUUCUUCCUAGUCUACACUAUCCAAACAAAUAAGCAGAUCUAAAAGGGAAAGGAAUCAAAUGCCAAAAAUCUGAAGAUUAGUUCCACCAGAAGACAAAACAAGAUUCUUCUGACCUAAGGUUACCUCCCUGUUUUACCUACCAACUGAAAUGUGACUUACAGGAGAAGGUGUGGAGUCCUUUCACUUCGGUGAGUCUGAUGUCUUCUCUUGUGCUGUCUUGCCAGUUAAUUCUUUAGAAAUGUGGGUUUGAAUCUCCUCAGGAAGGAGAAGGAAUUAAAUCUAUGUGACUCUGGCUGGGCAGGAUUAUAGACUGUUCCAAAAGAAAGUGAUUCUUCAUUUCCACCCCGCUCCCUACAUCUUAACAGAAGAUGCUGAGCUAUGUCUUGGAGGAAGAUCAGGCCUCAAUGUGCAUUGGCUAUCUACUCCAUCUUACCAUCAUCAUAUUUAGAUAGGGGAUUAUCUACUUUCUUCCUGUGAAUGACCCAGUAAUGGAGUGUUCAUGUCUAACACAACCAAGUUACUCCACCAUUAUGCAGGAGCAGGACUAAUUGUUGCCCAUGACAAGGAAUCCCAGUGGAGCUCAUACACGAGGUGGCUUAAGUAGCAAUGAGGUGGAGGAGGGUGUCCCAGCUAUGCUGUAUGAUAUGGCCCCAUGCAAACACUCUGGAGGGAUUUGGGGCUCUGUUUUACAAGUGACAGGACAUUAUGCAGUUAAAAGGUAUGUUCUGUACAUGUGUACUCAUGUUUAUUU
Molecule: non-coding RNA, 1252 nt
Organism: Meleagris gallopavo (turkey)
Lineage: Eukaryota; Metazoa; Chordata; Aves; Galliformes; Phasianidae
Source: RefSeq, a predicted model, not a curated record